This 394-nucleotide ribosomal RNA is filed under the name uncultured Gammaproteobacteria bacterium. Its description in RNAcentral is "bacterial SSU rRNA". It matches the Rfam family "Bacterial small subunit ribosomal RNA", at positions 370 to 779 of the family's 1533-position model. The record is from RNAcentral. Lineage: Bacteria; Pseudomonadati; Pseudomonadota; Gammaproteobacteria.
AAUGGGCGAAAGCCUGACGGAGCAAUGCCGCGUGAGGGAUGAAGGCCUCUGGGCUGUAAACCUCUUUUAUCAAGGAAGAAGAUCUGACGGUACUUGAUGAAUAAGCCACGGCUAAUUCCGUGCCAGCAGCAGCGGUAAUACGGGAGUGGCAAGCGUUAUCCGGAAUUAUUGGGCGUAAAGCGUCCGCAGGCGGCCCUUCAAGUCUGCUGCUAAAAAGUGGAGCUUAACUCCAUCAUGGCAGUGGAAACUGUUGGGCUUGAGUGUGGUAGGGGCAGAGGGAAUUCCCGGUGUAGCGGUGAAAUGCGUAGAUAUCGGGAAGAACACCAGUGGCGAAGGCGCUCUGCUGGGCCAUCACUGACGCUCAUGGACGAAAGCCAGGGGAGCGAAAGGGAUU